RNAcentral lists this ribosomal RNA (496 nucleotides) under uncultured bacterium. RNAcentral describes it as "bacterial SSU rRNA". It matches the Rfam family "Bacterial small subunit ribosomal RNA", at positions 28 to 511 of the family's 1533-position model. The record is from RNAcentral.
GAUGAACGCUAGCGGCAGGCUUAACACAUGCAAGUCGAGGGGCAGCAUGACACGGAGAUUCGUCGAAGUGUUGAUGGCGACCGGCGCAAGGGUGCGUAACGCGUGAGCAACUUGCCCGUUUCUGGGGAAUAACCGGUGGAAACGCCGACUAAUACCCCAUAGUAUAACGAAGAGGCAUCUUUUUGUUAUUAAAGAAUUUCGGAUAAGGAUAGGCUCGCGUGACAUUAGCUAGACGGCGGGGUAACGGCCCACCGUGGCUACGAUGUCUAGGGGUUCUGAGAGGAAGGUCCCCCACACUGGAACUGAGACACGGUCCAGACUCCUACGGGAGGCAGCAGUGAGGAAUAUUGGUCAAUGGUCUGACGACUGAACCAGCCAUGCCGCGUGAAGGUCACGGCCCUAUGGGUCUUAAACUUCUUUUGCGAGGGAGCGAAUAAGGCGCACGUGUGCGUCGAUGAGNGUACCUGCGAAUAAGCAUCGGCUAACUCCGUGCCAG